This 459-nucleotide ribosomal RNA is filed under the name Tissierella sp. canine oral taxon 029. RNAcentral's name for it is "bacterial SSU rRNA". It matches the Rfam family "Bacterial small subunit ribosomal RNA", at positions 9 to 450 of the family's 1533-position model. The record is from RNAcentral. Lineage: Bacteria; Bacillati; Bacillota; Tissierellia; Tissierellales; Tissierellaceae.
GAGUUUGAUUAUGGCUCAGGACAAACGCUGGCGGCGUGCUUAACACAUGCAAGUCGAACGAUGAAACGGAACGGAAGUUUUCGGACGGAAGUUCUGUGGAUUAGUGGCGGACGGGUGAGUAAUGCAUGAAGAGCCUGCCUUUCACAUAGGAAUAGCCUCGGGAAACCGGGAUUAAUACCAAAUGACACUCCGAGAUCGCAUGUUUUUGGGGUUAAAGAUUUUAUCGGUGAAAGAUGGCUUCAUGUCCCAUUAGCUGGUUGGUGAGGUAACGGCUCACCAAGGCGACGAUGGGUAGCCGGCCUGAGAGGGUGAACGGCCACAUUGGAACUGAGACACGGUCCAAACUCCUACGGGAGGCAGCAGUGGGGAAUAUUGCACAAUGGAGGGAACUCUGAUGCAGCGACGCCGCGUGAGCGAUGAAGGUCUUCGGAUCGUAAAGCUCUGUCCUAAGGGACGAUA